CCUCUCCUGAGGAGCGUGGGAACCCAGCGUGCGGGCUUUAUUGGGGAAAGCGGCGGUUGUUCACGGGGGCACGUUUUCGGAAAGGACAAUGAUUUGUAAAACUCAUAUUCUUUUAUAUGACGGGUACUGCAGCAGUCGCUACUCCUGAAUUAGAUGAAAUUUUUAUGGGACGUAAGGUACCAGAGGAUUUAGAUCAAACCAAAUUUUGAAAACCUAUGAGAACAACAGAAAGGCCAUAUGAAGACACAAGAAGAAGGUACCAUCCCGGAAGCAGAGAGCAAACCCUUAUCAGACACGAAACCUGCUGACUUCUUGAUGUACAGCCUC
Saimiri boliviensis boliviensis (Bolivian squirrel monkey) is the source of this 327-nucleotide non-coding RNA. The record is from RefSeq and is a predicted model, not a curated record. NCBI's taxonomy places the organism in Eukaryota, Metazoa, Chordata, Mammalia, Primates, Cebidae.